AAUGAACGUUGGCGGCGUGGAUUAGGCAUGCAAGUCGAGCGAUAACCGUAGCAAUACGGGGACAGCGGCGAAAGGGAGAGUAAUGCAUGGAUAUCUACCCUCGGGCCUGGGAUAGCUACGGGAAACUGUAGGUAAUACCAGAUAACAUCUCCGGAUCAAAGGUGUGAUUCCGCCCGUGGAGGAGUCCAUGUCCUAUUAGCUAGUUGGUGAGGUAACGGCUCACCAAGGCUGAGAUGGGUACGAGGUGUGAGAGCACGACCUCGCUCACUGGGACUGAGACACUGCCCAGACACCUACGGGUGGCUG
RNAcentral lists this ribosomal RNA (306 nucleotides) under uncultured Planctomycetota bacterium. Its description in RNAcentral is "bacterial SSU rRNA". It matches the Rfam family "Bacterial small subunit ribosomal RNA", at positions 29 to 351 of the family's 1533-position model. The record is from RNAcentral. Lineage: Bacteria; Pseudomonadati; Planctomycetota.